UUGGCACAAGCAUUAUGUUUAUGGGAUCUUUUACUUGGGGUAAGUCUUUUGCCUCCACUCGAAGUAGUAAGUCCACACAUGGACUUACCCUAAGAGCAGUGUGUCUACUCCUGGUGUCUUAUGUCUUGCUUGUGCUGCAAUUCAGUGAACGAGAGGAAUAGCUGCUGCAGAAGCACGGAGUGUUACUUAAGGGCGAGGGGAGGGGUAUUGCUCAGCCUGUGAUCUUGUGCGAGAUCUUGUGGUCUUGCAGAACAGUGGCAGUAGGAACGCCUCUCUUGACCGAUAUGUGCAAAGUGACUCAAACCUCGCUGGCUGCCACUUGAACACAGGUUAUAAACGUUUGACUGAUAACAAAACUGAAAAGGAAGCAAUCCCCUGUUACUUUUAUUGAAGAAAGCCAGGGGAAGGAGUUUAAGGCCGCCGGGCUAAUUGACUUCAAUGGCGGUGAGGGGAAGAGAGUGCCUGCAGAAUGUGCUGGAGGAUGCAGCUCUUUGGGGAUGGGGAGCAGGAGCAGCCCGAUGGAGCUGAGCUGCCCACCAGCACCAAACAACCAGGCACAGGGUUUCUGUGUUUCUGUCCUUUUUUUUUUUUUUGCUUGGACAAAGAGCCUUUGUUUUCAUUGCCAACAUGUUUGCUGAGGCUGCUGCUGGAUCAGGCAGUAAAUUCUCUUCCCACUGGAGCCAUGAAACUGAGACCAAAGUUUGCUCCUACAGAUUUCAGCAUGCUAUCUGAUGUGAAAACAGCCUUUAUUGCCUUUUUUUUCUUUUUUUUUUCCUUCCAAACACACCAAGCUGUAGUCUGGGGCGGAGCAGUUUGACUUCUGGGGAUGAGUUGGUGCUGAGGAGGGUGGCAACGAGCUGUUGUAACGCAGCAAAGCUCUGCCCAGGUCCAACUUUAUCCAAAAUGGAGCAAUUUUAAAACUGUACUGGGUCUGGCUGGAAUGUUAACUUUCCCGGCAGCAGCCCAUACAGUGCCGUACUCUGUAC
RNAcentral lists this long non-coding RNA (986 nucleotides) under Anas platyrhynchos platyrhynchos (common mallard). RNAcentral describes it as "lncRNA (ENSAPLG00000022511.1)". Lineage: Eukaryota; Metazoa; Chordata; Aves; Anseriformes; Anatidae. The record is from RNAcentral.